GGCCUUCUGUAUCCGUGCUGAGAUUUCGUCAGCGAUUAACCUGUUGGGGCUGAUGCAACUCCCCAAAUAAGUGAAGUC
Molecule: microRNA precursor, 78 nt
Filed under: Trichobilharzia regenti
Lineage: Eukaryota; Metazoa; Platyhelminthes; Trematoda; Strigeidida; Schistosomatidae
Description: mir-3492 microRNA precursor family
Rfam family: mir-3492 microRNA precursor family
Source: Rfam by way of RNAcentral